Molecule: ribosomal RNA, 468 nt
Filed under: uncultured bacterium
Lineage: Bacteria
Description: partial 16S ribosomal RNA
Rfam family: Bacterial small subunit ribosomal RNA
Source: RNAcentral
GACGAACGCUGGCGGCGUGCUUAACACAUGCAAGUCGAACGGAAAGACCCUGCUUUUGUGGGGUGCUCGAGUGGCGAACGGGUGAGUAACACGUGAGUAACCUGCCCUUGACUUUGGGAUAACUUCAGGAAACUGGGGCUAAUACCGGAUAGGAGCUCCUGCUGCAUGGUGGGGGUUGGAAAGUUUCGGCGGUUGGGGAUGGACUCGCGGCUUAUCAGCUUGUUGGUGGGGUAGUGGCUUACCAAGGCUUUGACGGGUAGCCGGCCUGAGAGGGUGACCGGCAACAUUGGGACUGAGCUAGGGCCCAGACUCCUACGGGAGGCAGCAGUGGGGAAUAUUGCACAAUGGGCGGAAGCCUGACGCAGCAACGCCGCGUGCGGGAUGACGGCCUUCGGGUUGUAAACCGCUUUCGCCUGUGACGAAGCGUGAGUGGCGGUAAUGGGUAAAGAAGCACCGGCUAACUACGUG